Long non-coding RNA from Quercus robur (English oak), 3715 nucleotides. RefSeq lists it as uncharacterized. NCBI's taxonomy places the organism in Eukaryota, Viridiplantae, Streptophyta, Magnoliopsida, Fagales, Fagaceae. The transcript is spliced from 2 exons. The record is from RefSeq and is a predicted model, not a curated record.
CUUAUAUAUAUUCCAAGCAAACCCUAAUUUCCACUGCGCAUUGCUUGCUUAGCAAAUCCCAGAAAAAAACCAGCUUGUUAUUGUUCAUAUGACUGGAAGGUGAAAAUUUUCCACUAUUCAAUGGGUUUUCUAGUUCACUUCGAGUACACAUUGCUAUCUUUUGUUGUUGUUUAUUUUAAGUAUUAUGUUUAGCAUUUUGUUUGGAUACCGAGAAAAUUUGGGAGAGAAAUUUAAGAAAGGAAAUGAAAAUUGAAAUUAUCAAAGUUUGGAUCUUUUCAUUGUUUUGUACCUUUUGGCUUUAUUUGAGUUUGUGCAUUUCAUUUUUGCGAUUAACCCGUGAACCUGUUGGGGUCCCUUUAAUCUUCUUUUCUUUUCUCGGUAGCCAAACUGAAGUUUAGAAUUCUAUCCCAAUAUUUUUUUAGUAAUGCAUGGUAUUUGAUGUGACUUAGUUGGGUUUGUGGGGUUUUACAAUUCAGUCUAGCUCAGUGACUACAUUUUGUUGAUAUUUGAAGGAUUUGAGCUUUUAGUAGUGAUGACUCUGUAAUUGCUAACCGCAAUUUCAAGCUGGUUCUGUGUGUUUGGUUUCUGGCCUCUAGUAUUUCAGUUUUUGGGGUUUUGAUGAUUUUUUGAAUUCAUGGAAUUUGUGGUGUCAUGCUUGUUCCUGCACUUUGAUCUCUGUUUUUGAGCUCUGAUUGAGAAUUUUUCUUUGCAUCCCAAUGAAGAGUUAUAUAAAAAUUAAAAGUAGUGGACUGAAUUUCUAUUGAUGAGCAAUGGAUUCUGAGGGGUGUUCUAAUAUAGCUUUGCAAAUUAAAAGUAGUGAUAAUAUUAGGUUUUUGUCUGUCAUUACAUGCUUUGUGGGUAGAAAAAAAAAAUUUGCAUGUGAACUUGUUCUGUCAAUUAAUUGUGAAAUUCAUUUAUUAAUUACUAUGUGAUAUACCUUGCAAAGUACUAAAUUGCAUCCCUGUGAGGAUUUUGUUCAAUUAAAAAGUAGUGGACUGAUCUUAAUUGAUGAACAACUCAACUCUGAGGGAUGUGCUUGGUAUUAUAACGUUGUAAUAUUUUGUUUAUUUGCAUCCAAUGCAACUGUGUUUGUAAAGUUAUAAGAUAAGUUCCUUUUCUGUAAAAAUAAUUGUAUAGGCAGGGAGCCAUUUGAUGGCCUUGCUUGAACUCCAUUAUAUGGGUUGUUUUGAAUUCAUUCAAACAGAAAAAGCAACAUAGAGUUAUGAGAUGAAAUUAUUUUUGUUUUAUUUUACUUUUUUGUUUGUUAUUUACUUUGCAUAUUGCACAUGCAGAAUCCAUCCACCUCUCAUAAAGGAGCUAAAUGAAACCAAAGUUUCAUGUUCUGUUUUGAAUUGAUUGUCUACCCAUUGACUAACCUCUUGCAUAUGCGUGAGUAUGUAUAUGUGUGCAUGCACAUCUUUGUGGGCUAUGUUCAGGUGCAUUAAAACUUUUUAUGUGCAUCCCAAUGAAGAAUGAUUCAAAUUAAAAGUAGUGGACAGAAAUCUAUUGAUGAGUAAUGAAUUCUGAGGGAUGUGUUUGGUCAUUUUAUUUUUGUAUAAUUCUAUGUUUAUAUGUUUUGUAAGAAAGAAGCUACUUUGCUUGUGAACUUAUACUCUUGAAUAAUUUGUGAAGUUCAUUGGUUUGUUUCUUUAUUUUAUUCAUACGUGAUUUUCCUUCCCUAUGGGGAUUGGUGUGAACUAUAAAUUAGUAGACUGGUCUCCUUCGAUGAAAAUCCGAUUCUUUUUUAUUGGUAAUUUCACAUGGACCCACUGGUUCUUGAACCCAUGGCCCAUAUCCUCCCCCUUGAUCUUAUUAGGGAGGAGGUUCCAUAGAGUCAGAGCUAAUUGGCUAUGAAGUAUGAACAAUCGAAUUCUUAGGGAUUUGCUUUGGUAUUAUAGUGUUAGUAAUUUGUUUAUCCGUUUAUCUUGAAACUGACUUUGUAAAAAAUUUGAAGGUAUUUUCUUUUCCCUAGGCUGGUUGUUGAGUAGUGAGCCAAUGUCUUGCUUGAAGGACUAACUAAAUUUAUAAAUAGUUUAUUGGUGCUCUGUGAGUAUUUUGAAUAAUAUCACGAAGAUGCUACAAUGAGUUUAUUAGUUCUCUGUGAGUAUUUUGAAUAAUAGUUUAUCAAUGCUGUUACUUUUCAGUGCUAGUUAUUAUUCCCUUUCCAUACCCUCUAUAAAAUGCUAUAUGCUGAGCUUCAUGAAGACCAGGAAAAGGGCUGACUGUACUCAUUGUCAUGUGAUGUUGAAGGGGGUCUCCCUUGGUGCAAGGGGUCUGUAUAUCACACAGUUUGGCUUUUUUUCUGUGUUUUCUUAUAUGACUGUCAUUUCAUAACACAAACACAGAGAAUCUAAAAUGGCAGCUCUUCACAACCUGGAUGUUCAGGCCCAAUGACCUGGAAUUACCCUUUGCCACUUUGGCUAGGUGAGCAUCAUUGUGGAUCAAAGAGGCUAUCCUGGAUCAGCCACUAAUAUAUGGUUAUUUGUAAAUCUAUGGCUACCGUAUGAUAACACCCAAAGAAAAAGAAGAAGAAGAACACACUGACAUGUUAUCUUAGGUAGAUCAUUGGAGGUAGGCUUCUCAGUUGUGCUGCAAGGAUGCAUGGCAAAUUAGUAACGUUUCUUCUGGUGAUACUCACGGUAGACAUGAUCAGAAGAUGAGCUGGUGGCUGGAAAGUCAUUGGUGGUGGAGGGUGUUACUAGCAUGCUGCAGCACAACUAUUUUCGUUUAGGUAUUAUGGAAUGACAAAAAUUUGUGAAGAGGAUGGUACAAACCCGGUGUGCAAUAUCUUCUUACAAUUGUAGAUCUUAUGAGCAGAAUCUUGACAUGAGAGGAAUGUGCAGCUUAAAACUAACCUGUUUUACUGUGAAAGCUGAAAAGUAUUACCUAUACUCUUUGGGUCAGAUAAGAAUGAAGUUGACUGCAGUAGUCCAACUGCAGAGAGGAAUCAAUCAAAUUCUCAGAAGUCAGGCCAAGAUGAUGGUGUCAUUCCCAAUGUGUUCGAUAUUUCCAGUUAUGAUGAGAGGCUUGAUGAUCUUCCAAUUUUAGAAAUUUUCAAAAUUUGGGAUGCUGUUGCGAAAAGAGUACUUCUGAAGAUUAUGUGUGCAAUCAAUUCAAAAGGUUUUCACUCCCACUACAAGUGCUGCCUCUGAAUAUGGUAGAAAAAGAAAACUUUCAUCUGUAAGAGAUUGUAAAAAAUAGGCCAUCCCAUCUGUAAGUGUGGGUGCGAAGAAUUGGAAGGAAUGGCUCAUAUUUUGGCCAAUGACCAGUAUGUAGCUGCUAAUGGAGUCCAGAGUGAGGCUAGUGUCUGGGAAUGAUCCAUUAGACACUGCUGGGCUGAGCGAGGGGAUUCAAAAACAAAAAGGAUUCAAAAACAAAAAGGAUUAGCUACUGAUGGAGCUAAAGAAAGGAAGGAACAAAAGGCUGGAGCUCCAGUCUUUCAAUAACACUAUGGACGUUGAUGACUAUAUUCAGACUAUAGGAAGCAAGAGCCAGAAUCUUGGGCUAGAAGAGAGGAUUCAGAAGCUGGAGAAAUUGUUGGGGUUAAAAACAGAUGAAUACAGAGAUGCAGGAAAGAACCAAAGAUGAGAGAUCCAGUGGCUUAUAUGAUAUAAUGUAUUCUUAUUUUUAUUUUUUUGUUAACUCUUUCCAGUUCAUGUUGUGAAUCUUCUGUUUAUCUGAGCUUGUUGGUGCAAUGGGAACUUUUGUUUAUGAA